Molecule: ribosomal RNA, 408 nt
Filed under: uncultured organism
Description: bacterial SSU rRNA
Rfam family: Bacterial small subunit ribosomal RNA
Source: RNAcentral
UGUCAGCAGCCGCGGUAAUACGGAGGAUGCAAGCGUUAUCCGGAUUCAUUGGGUUUAAAGGGUGCGCAGGCGGAAUAAUAAGUCAGUGGUGAAAGCCUACAGCUUAACUGUAGAACUGCCAUUGAUACUGUCAUUCUUGAGUAUUGUUGAGGUAGGCGGAAUGUGUCAUGUAGCGGUGAAAUGCUUAGAUAUGACACAGAACACCGAUCGCGAAGGCAGCUUACCAAGCAAUAACUGACGCUCAUGCACGAAAGCGUGGGGAUCAAACAGGAUUAGAUACCCUGGUAGUCCACGCCGUAAACGAUGAUCACUCGAUGUUGGCGAUACACAGUCAGCGUCUUAGGGAAACUAUUAAGUGAUCCACCUGGGGAGUACGGUCGCAAGAUUGAAACUCAAAGGAAUUGACGG